Molecule: long non-coding RNA, 1944 nt
Organism: Haliaeetus leucocephalus (bald eagle)
Lineage: Eukaryota; Metazoa; Chordata; Aves; Accipitriformes; Accipitridae
Exons: 6
Source: RefSeq, a predicted model, not a curated record
CUGGGUGGGAUGGGGAGUGAGUGAGCGGCUACGUGUUCCUUAGCUGCUGGCUGGGGUUAAACCAGGACAAGACAUUAAACAACUGUGACUUUCAUGUCAGAAACCAGACCAUUACAGAGUUCUUCAAACCAGUUUCAAACAAAGACCUUGGCCAUAAAGACAGAACUGUGUUGUGUUCACCAGACAAAGGAAAUGUAAAAGAUGCAGGAAUCGGACUGUCAGUUUUAUGCACUGAACGUUUUGAAAAGAAAAUAUCUCCUCCAAAGAAGGUCAGAAGAAAAAAGAUGCCAGACCAAACACCAAACACAAGUCCUGUGGUAGAUGCCUUUCGGAGAGGAAUUAAGGAGGAAAAGGACAGUGUAAACAUUUUAGAGAAUGGCAGAGCAUGCAAGGCACUGGGUUCAUUGUACCCAAAAGUUGUGAUUCAAAAACUCCUUGUUACCACAGGGUCUCAGAGCUUUUUCUUGGCCAAAAAGGAUAAAAUUGUCAAGUCAGAACAGGGAAGAAAUGAGAAGUGUCUGGGUGUAACAAGAGCACCAUUGUCUUCUGGAAAUAGUUGGGAACAGCAAACUGACUGUAUGGAUCUAGAAGACACUAGUUCAGACUCUGACAAAUGGGUUUCAUCAUCAGAAGCUGAUACCCGAAAACCCUGUGCUGGAAAUAAUGGCACUGCGAACAACAUGCCUCUGUGCCAAAACCCAGGUCUUCCCAUGAAAUUGCCCUGCGCUCCAACUGACUCUGAAUUUAGGUUGUCGCUGGAAGCGCUCCGCAGAGAAAGGAAGCGGAAGAAACAUAGAAUGAAACAAUCUAAGCCACAUCCUGUGAAGCCAUUCUCAGGAACAAGUGUAUCACAUCAGGGAAAUGGAUGUCCUUUAAGAAAAAUACAACAUUCUGGUUCAAGGGAGACUGCCUCAGCACUGGGACUUGGCCAGCGGUGCAAGGAGCUGAUCUGGCUGAAAAUGGGAGUUGGGAAGUUCUGGGCCACAUCAGCUCCAUGAAGUAGCUUGCCAUGACGUGUCCAGGUGCUGGUGCCAGCUUAAGGCAGGAAGCAGAAAAGCAUAAUGACCCAUCACAACCAAAGCCAAAGCAGGUUUCAAAACAUGAGGCAUCUUCUCCAAAUGCACUGAGAACAUCAUCUGAGAUGGCCAGUGGUAUGCGAAAGAGCCAGUCUGUUCCUUCAUGCUGCCUUAGAUCAAAGAUGUCUUCUGGACGAUCCAAACAAAUAGACUUUCCUGGGAAAAGAAAACAUGCUGCCAUGAGUGCAGAUGCAGACAGUUCAAUUCAAUCUGAAGUAUCAAGUUUGAAUGACCCUGCUUUUAGUAGAUCAUCUGCAAAAUGCAAAAAUAGAAAGUCUGACUUUGUAAAAAAUAUCCUUUUAAAGUCUACUUGUGGUGAUGUUCUGCAAUUAAUGGAGGCUGCUGCUCUACCUGGACAUGAUUCUACUCUUCCAGAGGAAUACCUCAACUCAAGCAAUGACAAUGAGAAGAAUAAUUGCUCCUCUGUAGGUUUGUCAUCUUCAUAUUCUGCACACAGUCCUGGUAAAAGUAACCACAUUUCUGUUGUGGAUACCAAAGAGAAUCAAUUGCAGGUGGCUAACUCAUGCUUUUUCUUGGAAAAGUCCCUUCCUUUUUCUCAGGAAAAAAGUACUGUGUUGCCUUCUCUCCACCGCUUAACACAAACAAAAGGUGUGAAAUCUCAUCUCCAGAAUGCUGGCUUAUCUCAGGUAUUGGAUGCUAAGAAAGAGCAAGAUGGGAAAAGACCAGAAAGAUGUGCACACAAUAAAGCUUACAGUAUUAAAUCCAGCAACAGUUUUUCAAAAACAAAAGACAAGACUCCAGAAAAUGUUUCUGAUUCUUGUUCAGUGGAAGGUUCUAGGAAACUUGCACUCUCAGAAGAGACUGAUAAAAGUGUUCCCUGUUUGUUGCCCUUUAAAGAAGGAUGCAU